Molecule: ribosomal RNA, 439 nt
Filed under: uncultured bacterium
Lineage: Bacteria
Description: partial 16S ribosomal RNA
Rfam family: Bacterial small subunit ribosomal RNA
Source: RNAcentral
CUACGGGAUGCUCCAGUGGGGAAUAUUGGACAAUGGGCGCAAGCCUGAUCCAGCAAUGCCGCGUGAGUGAAGACGGCCUUAGGGUUGUAAAACUCUUUCGCUAGGGAAGAUAAUGACUGUACCUAGUAAAGAGGUCCCGGCUAACUCCGUGCCAGCAGCCGCGGUAAUACGGAGGGGACUAGCGUUGUUCGGAACUACUGGGCGUAAAGAGUUCGUAGGCGGACUGACAAGUUAGAGGUGAAAUCCCAGGGCUCAACCCUGGAACUGCCUUUAAAACUGUCAGUCUAGAGACCGGAAGAGGUUAGGGGAAUACCUAGUGUAGAGGUGAAAUUCGUAGAUAUUAGGUGGAACACCAGUGGCGAAGGCGCCUAACUGGUCCGGUACUGACGCUGAGGAACGAAAGCGUGGGGAGCAAACAGGAUUAGAUACCCCGGUAGUC